RNAcentral lists this ribosomal RNA (440 nucleotides) under uncultured bacterium. Its description in RNAcentral is "partial 16S ribosomal RNA". It matches the Rfam family "Bacterial small subunit ribosomal RNA", at positions 339 to 795 of the family's 1533-position model. The record is from RNAcentral.
CUACGGGCGGCAGCAGUCGAGAAUAUUCGACAAUGGGCGAAAGCCUGAUCGAGCGACGCCGCGUGCGGGAAGAAGGCCCUCGGGUUGUAAACCGCUUUUGCCAGGGAAAAAAUUUGAUUGUACCUGGCGAAUAAGGAGCUCCUAACUUCGUGCCAGCAGGAGCGGUAAUACGAAGGCUCCAAGCGUUAUCCGGAAUUACUGGGCGUAAAGAGCGAGUAGCCGGUUUUGAUAGUCCGAUGUUAAAUCCUACUGCUUAACGGUGGGGCCGCAUUGGAAACGUCAAGACUGGAGCGGGUGAGAGGCAAGCGGAACGUGCGGUGUAGGGGUGAAAUCCGUUGAUAUCGCACGGAACACCAAAAGCGAAAGCAGCUUGCUAGCACUUUGCUGACGGUCAAUCGCGAAAGCGUGGGGAUCAAAAAGGAUUAGAUACCCGGGUAGUC